Molecule: ribosomal RNA, 428 nt
Filed under: uncultured bacterium
Lineage: Bacteria
Description: bacterial SSU rRNA
Rfam family: Bacterial small subunit ribosomal RNA
Source: RNAcentral
UGGGGAAUAUUGGACAAUGGGGGCAACCCUGAUCCAGCCAUGCCGCGUGGGUGAAGAAGGCCUUCGGGUUGUAAAGCCCUUUUGUACGGGAAGAAAAGCGUCUGGUGAAUAUCCGGGCGUCAUGACGGUACCGUAAGAAUAAGCACCGGCUAACUUCGUGCCAGCAGCCGCGGUAAUACGAAGGGUGCAAGCGUUACUCGGAAUUACUGGGCGUAAAGCGUGCGUAGGUGGUUUGUUAAGUCUGAUGUGAAAUCCCCGGGCUCAACCUGGGAAUGGCAUUGGAUACUGGCAGGCUAGAGUGCGGUAGAGGGUGGUGGAAUUCCCGGUGUAGCAGUGAAAUGCGUAGAGAUCGGGAGGAACAUCUGUGGCGAAGGCGGCCACCUGGACCAGCACUGACACUGAGGCACGAAAGCGUGGGGAGCAAACAG